UACGUAGGGACCGAGCGUUGUCCGGAAUCAUUGGGCGUAAAGCGCGUGUAGGCGGCUCGAUAAGUCUGCUGUGAAAGUUCAGGGCUCAACCCUGAAAUGCCGGUGGAAACUGUCGGGCUAGAGUCCGGAAGAGGCGAGUGGAAUUCCUGGUGUAGCGGUGAAAUGCGCAGAUAUCAGGAGGAACACCAAUGGCGAAGGCAGCUCGCUGGGACGGUACUGACGCUGAGACGCGAAAGCGUGGGGAGCAAACAGG
This 253-nucleotide ribosomal RNA is filed under the name uncultured bacterium. RNAcentral's name for it is "partial 16S ribosomal RNA". It matches the Rfam family "Bacterial small subunit ribosomal RNA", at positions 524 to 776 of the family's 1533-position model. The record is from RNAcentral.